Small nuclear RNA from Otolemur garnettii (small-eared galago), 104 nucleotides. NCBI's taxonomy places the organism in Eukaryota, Metazoa, Chordata, Mammalia, Primates, Galagidae. The record is from Ensembl.
GUGCUUGCUUCAGCAGCACAUAUACAAAAAUUGGAACAAUACAGAGAUUAGCAUGCCCCCUGUGUAAGGAUGACAUGCAAAUUUGUGAAACAUCCCAUAUUUUU